RNAcentral lists this ribosomal RNA (1470 nucleotides) under uncultured Bordetella sp. RNAcentral describes it as "partial 16S-23S ribosomal RNA intergenic spacer". It matches the Rfam family "Bacterial small subunit ribosomal RNA". Lineage: Bacteria; Pseudomonadati; Pseudomonadota; Betaproteobacteria; Burkholderiales; Alcaligenaceae. The record is from RNAcentral.
GGUUCGAUUAUGCAAUUAGAUUUGAACGCUGGUGAGUGCGCUACUAUGUUUGAACGGCAGCACGGACUUCGGUCUGGUGGCGAGUGGCGAACGGGUGAGUAAUGUAUCGGAACGUGCCUAGUAGCGGGGGAUAACUACGCGAAAGCGUAGCUAAUACCGCAUACGCCUUGGGAAAGCGGGGGGACCUUCGGGCCUCGCACUAUUAGAGCGCCGGAUAUCGGAUUAGCUAGUUGGUGGGGUAACGGCUCACCAAGGCGACGAUCCGUGGCUGGUUUGAGAGGACGACCAGCCACACUGGGACUUAGAUUACGCUCAGAUCUACGGAGGCAGCAGUGGGGAAUUUUGGACAAUGGGGAAACCCUGAUCCAGCCAUCCCGCGUGUGCGAUGAAGGCCUUCGGGUUGUAAAGCACUUUUGGCAGGGAAAGAAACGGCACGGGAUAAUACCCGUGCAAUCCGGAUGGCACCGCAGAAUAAGCACCGGCUAACUACGCGCCAGCAGCCGCGGUAAUACGUAGGGUGCAAGCGUUAAUCGGAAUUCCUACUGGGCGCAAAGGUGCGCAGGCGGUUCGAAAGAAAGAUGUGAAAUCCCAGAGCUUAACUUUGGAACUGCAUUUUUAACUACCGAGCUAGAGGCCAGAUAGAGGUGGAAUCGCGCAGCAGCAGCGUGCAGGUAUUAUGCGGAGGAAACACUGAUGGCGAAGCGGCAGCCCUGGGAUAACACUGACGCUCAUGCAAUGAAAGUGGGAGCAAAAUGCAGGAUUAGAUUCUUCUGUAGUUCCACAGCCUCAAACGAGUGUCAUUAACUGAAGUGAAAGUCGGGGCCUUCGGGCCUUUGGUAUGGUAGCAGCGACCAUGGUUGACCGCCUGGGGAGUACGGUCGCAAGAUUAAAACCAGAAAGGAAUUGACGACCCGCGUGAAGCGGUGACGAUGUGGAUUAACUGAUGCAACCAGCAACCCAUCUGCACUGACAUGUCUGGAAUCCCGAAGAGAUUGUAUGUGCCUGUAAGAGAACCGGAACACAGGUGCUGCAUGGCUGUCGUCAGCUCGUGUCGUGAGAUGUUGGGUUAAGUCCCGCAACGAGCGCAACCCUUGUCAUUAGUUGCUACGAAAGGGCACUUAAUGAGAUCGCUGGUGACAAACCAGAUAGCGUGGAAGGACGUCAUCCCAGCACCAGUGGUAGGGCUUCACACGUCAUACAAUGGUCGGGACAGAGGGUCGCCAACCCGCGAGGGGAGCCAAUCCCAGAAACCCGAUCGUAGUCCGGAUCGCAGUUCGCAACUCGACUGCGUGAAGUCGGAAUCGCUAGGUAAUCGUGAUCAGCAUGUCGCGGUGAAUACGUUCCCGGGUCUUGUACACACCGCCCGUCACACCAUGGGAGUGGGUUUUACCAGAAGAAGUUAGUCAACCGUAAGGAGGGCGAUUACCACGGUAGGAUUCAUGACUGGGGUGAAGUCGUAACAAGGUAGCC